AAUGGGAUGAGAGAGCUUCCCUCAGCCCACUCACGGAUGGGAACAAGGGGGUUGAACUAGCUGCCGACUCAUUCAUUCAAGCACUCAGUAGAAAAUGGAUUUGGUGUUUUUGCUACUGUGAUUGUGUGAAUGAUGCGGGAGAUAUUUUUGCAUCCCUCUUUCUCCGUGCUUGGACUGAAGGGAGCUCCUUCUUUCUGUUUC
Corchorus olitorius is the source of this 201-nucleotide non-coding RNA. The record is from Rfam. Lineage: Eukaryota; Viridiplantae; Streptophyta; Magnoliopsida; Malvales; Malvaceae.